RNAcentral lists this ribosomal RNA (446 nucleotides) under uncultured bacterium. Its description in RNAcentral is "partial 16S ribosomal RNA". It matches the Rfam family "Bacterial small subunit ribosomal RNA", at positions 338 to 795 of the family's 1533-position model. The record is from RNAcentral.
CCUACGGGCGACAGCAGUCGAGAAUCAUUCACAAUGGGGGAAACCCUGAUGGUGCGACGCCGCGUGGGGGAAUGAAGGUCUUCGGAUUGUAAACCCCUGUCAUGUGGGAGCAAAUUAAAAAGAUCGUACCACAAGAGGAAGAGACGGCUAACUCUGUGCCAGCAGCCGCGGUAAUACAGAGGUCUCAAGCGUUGUUCGGAAUCACUGGGCGUAAAGCGUGCGUAGGCUGUUUCGUAAGUCGUGUGUGAAAGGCGCGGGCUCAACCCGCGGACGGCACAUGAUACUGCGAGACUAGAGUAAGGGAGGGGGAACCGGAAUUCUCGGUGUAGCAGUGAAAUGCGUAGAUAUCGAGAGGAACACUCGUGGCGAAGGCGGGUUCCUGGACAGUAACUGACGCUGAGGCACGAAGGCCAGGGGAGCGAAAGGGAUUAGAUACCCGGGUAGUC